This is a long non-coding RNA of Alosa sapidissima (American shad), 1105 nucleotides long. RefSeq lists it as uncharacterized. The transcript has 4 exons. The record is from RefSeq and is a predicted model, not a curated record. Lineage: Eukaryota; Metazoa; Chordata; Actinopteri; Clupeiformes; Clupeidae.
CUGCCCUUCUCCGCAGGAUGUUUCUGGGUGCUGGCCUUCUUGCUCUGCUCCCUUAUUUGCCUACAGUGACGCACAGAAGAUCUCCAACAAACGGUCAACCUCCGCUUGGGCCUUCCCAGAAUCCUCUCUGUGUCUAGCCACAUCUGUCUCCAGAGCGGCGAUCUUCUCAGAUAGCUCUGAGUUCGCUUGUGCAUCAGCAGCUGCAUGUUUGGCCUGUGCGGGUCAUCCACACACAAGCUGGUUCUCCAGCUUGCUGCACUCCUCUCUACGCUGCUCCAGGGCAAUCUCGAGGCUCUUCAGCUUGGAGUCCUUCUUCAGACCGGACGAGGCCAAUGAGGACGCGUGCUCUUUCAGAUCCAGCAAGGACGUCUAGGAACAAUGAUUCAAUGGCAGCUGCUCCUGGAGGUUCUCAAUCUGGGGAUGGAACAUCAGCCACAUAGAUCUCAUUUAUGAGACAUAUCGUUCACGCACUAACAUUGUUUUAACAUCUCUGAGUUACACCUGAAGCCAGGCCUUAAAGGUGCAGUCUGCAAUUUUGUUGUCCAAUUUUAACUGUUGGCAAAUGUUAGUACCGGUAAGUAUAUUUAAUCCAAUCCCAUUAAAACGUGCAACAGCCCACUAGCUCACACCAAAAACAAGGUAACAUUAACUGACAAGCUGACAAGAUCAAGAUAGUUUACUUAUCAAAUAUCCAUUUAUCUAUAAUAAUCUGUAACAGUGACGAGAGGCCUACAUAUUAUAUAAUUAUUACAUAUUAUGAGACAUAAUAAAAAGGAGCUGGUAUGCUAAAAAAGUAAAAUGACUGCCAUUGCCAUGACAAGGCGUUUUUGUGAUGGAUCCAUUUCUAAAAACGUGCAGGGGCCCAAACUGUGCAACUGCAGCAAGUUUCAUGCUUUUAUGAAAACGUGAGCACCAUUUUCACACCACCUGGGCUAUUACUAUGAAAAUCAGCUCUUUUAGACACAUGUGUGAACAUCAAUACAACCUGACCUCCAAAUGAACCCCAUGGGCCAUUAGUUGACCUACGUACCAUGAAAAACUAGACACCAUUAGGGUUCUAAAAUGCCAAGCAGGUGCAUGGGAACAUAUUUCUCCUGCUCGCUCG